This 76-nucleotide transfer RNA is filed under the name Mollicutes bacterium. RNAcentral describes it as "tRNA-Glu". It matches the Rfam family "tRNA". From Rfam's summary of the family: Transfer RNA (tRNA) molecules are approximately 80 nucleotides in length. Their secondary structure includes four short double-helical elements and three loops (D, anti-codon, and T loops). Lineage: Bacteria; Bacillati; Mycoplasmatota; Mollicutes. The record is from RNAcentral.
GGCCUGUUGGUGAAGUGGUUAACACGCUAGGUUCUCAAUCUAGUAUGCAGGAGUUCGAACCUCCUACAGGUCGCCA